CUAAGACCUGACCAGAGGAAUGUUUUCACUUGUAGUAAGACUGGAAGCCAAUUGUCUCCUUAGGUAAAAAAAAAAAGCAGUUGAGCCAGUACUGAUUAGAUCCUCCCCUUCUGACUGAGCCUUAAAAGGAAAUAAUCCAGAGAGAGAGACAAAGGAAGUAGGACAGAGGGUGGAGGCAGGAACAUGGCGAGAGGCCAAGUCAGGGUCCUACUUGCUGAUGUGACAAUGAGGGGCACAAGUGGAGCCCUCAUGGCUUCACUUGGGCAAUCAGCAGCAUAAAAGAUGGGCAGGAAGCAUAGCCACCAUCAACUCACACUGCAGGGAGUCAUGAAUAUCACCUCCGUCUUUGACAUAUGAGGGGAGAAAUGCUCAGACCACAAAAGUGUCCUCCAACCCAGGGUCCAGGAGGGAAGAAUAAAACACUGGGCAAUUGCUGUUCCAGCAUGCCCGCAGAACACAUGGAGCAAAUGCCUUCUCGUCCCAGACCCAGGGACAAGGGAGUCUGCAUGGAGGUGCCACAGAUGGAGCAUUCUGGGAAUAUAGAGACCUGGAUUCUAGGACUGACCUUGUAAGAGUGGCUUGGGAAAGCAACCAGGACCAGUCUGGAUAUCACGAUAUUACCACAUCAAUCAGAGGCAAGAAAGGACAUUGACUGAAAGGUCAGUUGGCAUUGUGGAGUAGUAGUCUGGAAAGUCCUCUGAGGAAAUGGGCAUAUCCAUCCAGAAAGGAGUGCCUGGCACAUGGUGUGCAGUCCGAGGAGUGGGUGGGAUACUCCCUUGAAUACCAGAGUCAGGGAGUCAGGGAGCGCAGUGGUUGGGAAAGAGGGUAACUGUUGUCUGCUACCACUCCCGCUUCUCUUGGAUAUAGACCACAGGAGGCACUGAAGUAGAAACACAGAUGUAGGAGAGGCAGCGCGUGGCUGCGUGCUUGGCUCAAGCUGAGGGGUGGAACAUUGAUAGACCAGAACCCUGAACUCAUCCUUACUCUGACGUUAAUGAGAGUCACUCCAAAUCAGUGUGUCAGUACCAUUCUGGUAACCCAAUCUUGUGAAAAAAUAUAGUACCUACACGCAGAACAAUCUGCUUGUCAGGCUGCUCUCCUGGAACCAGAGCUGAGUCCCAGGGUCUUGCUAAGACCCCAAAGACAUGAGUCCUGGAGCUCCUGGGGACAUCUUGUUGACCUCAUGCAUGAAGCAGAGCAGAGGUUAUCAGACAUUUUCUGUAAAUGGCUAAAUAUUAAGUAUUUUAGGUUUUCCGGGCCGUACCUCUGUUGUGACUACUCAACUCUGUUGCUGCUGUGUGAAAGCAGCCAUAGACAACAGAAAAUGAGUUCCAAUAAAACUUUAUUUAUAAAAGCAGUCAAAGGGCUGGAUUUGGCCCUCAGCAUGGAGUUUGCUGGUCUCUGUGUACAGGGUUGGGCAGUGCAUUGGAGGGGACAAACGGAGGCUGGGUACUGCUAGGUGCUGAUAUACACACAAGAUAAAGGGAAAGGGGGGAAGGGGGAAAGCAAUUAGUACUUUUCACAAGAUGGAGAAUAUACAAGAGGGCAUUCUAGAUUUAAAAAAAUAGCAUAUGCAAAGGAGCAGAAGAGACAACAGGGCAAACAUGGGGAAGAGCAAGCAGCUUGGUACAGCUGGAGCACAGAGAACAUCACAGGGAGUGGCUAAGGGGCUUGCUACAUCCUGCAAUUUUGUUGGGAGGAUUAAAUGAGAAAACAGAUGUGAAAGUGUUUUUGCAAACUAUAGGAAUGUCAUCAUAUUGCUCACUAAUUUAAAGGCCUGGUAUGCUAUGCUAAUUAAUUUAGAUCUACCUGGAGUUACAUAGUGAGACUGGCAGCUUAGAAGGUCAUCUGAUGCUGUCUGGAGGAUGGCUUAGAGGAGCUUGACUGAGGCAGACAGGCUGACAAAGUCCGUAAUUUGGGUAAGAGAUGGUGUGAUGGUUAAUUUUAUGUGUCAACUUGGCUGGGCCAUGUGCCCAGAUAUGUGGUCAAACUUUAUUCUGGAUGUUUCUGUGAGAGUAUUUUAGGAUGAGAUUAACAAUUAAAUUGUUGGACCUUGAGUAAAGCACAUUGCCCUCCAUAAUGUGGGUGGGCCUCACUCAACCAGCUGAAGGCCUGAAUAGAACAAAAGACUGACCUCCCCUAGAUAAGAAGGAAUUCUGCCAACAGAUGGCCUUCUCCCUUGAACCACAACAUUGGCUCUUUCCUGGGUAUCCAGUCUGCUGGUCCGUUGUUACAGGUUUUGACCUUGACAGCUUCCAUAAUAGCGUGAGCCAAUUCCUAAAAUAAAUCUCUCUUUCUAUAUAUAUGUAUACAUCUCUUACUUCUGUAUCUUUGGAGAGCUCUAGCUAGUAAAGAUGGUAGAAUCUGGCAGUAGAUGGUAGAACCAGGGCAGUGGCGUGGAGAUGGAAAGAGGGGUAAGAGUUGAAAAGCUAGUUAAGACAUUAAAUUGGCAUCGUCUAGUGACAUUUUGGGUGUGCGCAGAGAGGAAGUGAGAGAUGUUUCAAUGGUGAGUUUUUUAUUAGAUGGGUUGCUGGAUGGAUUCUGAUGCCAUUGUCAAGAGAAGAAACCCAACACUGUCAACAAUCAUACCCAGACCCUGACUAGAAAUUGUGCACAUGCAUAGAAGGAGGGAAGUAGGUAGGCGCUUGGGCAAAUCCCUACUAAGGCAACACAAGCUGCUGAGGGAGAACAGGAAGUCUGUGAGAAGGGCUGGAUCUUUUGAUUUCCAAUUCCUGUCCUGGUUUGCUGGCUGGUCAGAGGAGAGUUCUGUGACCUUGCCAGUCAUGCGCAGGUCAGCCUUUCUGGCUCCACAAACUCAGCAGGGCCUCUUUAUUUUUCAUGAACAUACCGGUAAGGGUCUUUGUCUUGAUCAGUCGAAGCCAUUUAAAAUAUACCAUUCUACCAUUCACUGUCUAUUCAUGGUGUGGUUGCAAUAGGAUUAGAACCAGGUGGAUGUUACUGAUCAGCUUUCUCCCCUCCAGACCAGAUGGGUUUAUUUCCCCCACUUACAGCACUGUGGUUAAGGGCCAGGCUCUGGAGCCAGCUGGCUUAGGUUCAAACCUCACCUCUGCCAUGUACUAGCUGUGUGACCUUGCUCAAGUGGCUUCAAUUUUCUGUGCCCAAGUUUCCUCUGUUGUACCAUUACUUUCCUUAUAGGCUUAUCUGAGGUCUACAUGAGUUAACGUAGGCGAAGCACUUGAAACAAUUCCCGGCACACCACAAGCACCGUGUAAAGAUUAUGACAGAGUACUGAAUGCACCAGGAGGGAUGGGUUCCGACUUGUGGACCUUCGGACUCUUGGAGAUUUGCCUUCUACUUCUCUUCCUUAUCCUGCGUUGGGUGGUCACUGGUAAACCCAACAGUUGAUCCCAGGAAUGCAGCUAAGAAAAGGGAUUUCAGAGACCUAUGGUUUUGAUGGUGGGCGACAUUUGAAUCUCUAACUUUUGAUCUUUCUUUGGGUCAGAGUUGCUAUUUCUGCAGAGCCAUAACACUGUCAUUCAAACAAAUUUUGGCCCUUUCUAUUGAAUAUUUCAAGCAAAUGACAAAUUUCUCUUAAAUUGCUAACAACCAGAAAGGAUAUGGUGAGUUAGCUCCUGGCUGGAAUGGAGCUAUAGGCUAAGUAUAGGCUGCCCUCUUGCACUUGUCAUUGGUGGGCAUUACAAGUAUGAACAGGGAGAUGGAAGUUGAGAUUUCCAAACAAGAGAUGGUUUUAGGAGAAAAAUAAAAUCCUGGUCUAGUGUUUCCAGAGAUAUUUUCCUUUGAAAUGAAAACCAGGACCUGGUUACAAAGGUAAGGUAGACGUGCUCUUAGAUGUGAAGAAUGGCAGAUACCAAAUGAUGUGUGCGUGUGCAUACACUGUAAACAUUUGAAGCAUACCCUGUGACCUAUGCAACAAAUAAAAAGGACAUGUCACUCAUGCUUCCAAAGUCUGACUUUGAUCUUGUACGUAAACAAAGGAAAAAUACCUUCUGGAAAUUAGAUUGCCUCUGGUACCUGUGGAGGGAUGAUGGAGGUGAGGAGGCAUCCGUGCUGGUAGGGAACUGGGAAUAAGGAAUCAACCAUCAAAGACUCCCACGCCUCCUGGAGUGAUGUGGGGGAUUCAGGUUAAGAACAAGAUUAUGAGGCUUCGAGCAUCCAGUGAGACCAGGAGGGCACAACUAAGAUCCAGGAAAUAUUUUGAAACUAAGACACUAAGCAAUAAAUGAGACUCAGGAAAAAAAAAAAAACAACACAAUAAGAGUUAAGAGAAAGGACAAAGCUUUAGAGAAGGAAGAGACAGUUUCCUGGAAGAAGUAAAGUAGAAGGUGAACCUUGGAGCAUGCUUUGUGCAAUGUGUUGAGCAUUUACUUAGCAGCGAAAUUAACUGGGCAGGAGAAAAAAAUAUUUGCAUUUUUGAAAAUGACUUUUCCUCUGCACAGUUGCAGGCCACAUGAUGCCACCCAUUGGUUGAAACGGGGAUUGUAAAUAUUCUCCAAGUGGAGCUGAAUGUAAAAGGGAUUUAGACAGCAAUGGAGAAUGUGAGGAUCUGUAUUAUCUAAGCUGGAGUUUGCACCAACGCUAUAUUAGUAUUUACAGUUGGAAUAAAGGAAAAAAAGCUCUCCUUGCCAACGUCGCAUAAGCGCAUUUAAAGUAUCCAACACAUUUUACUGAACACAGGUACAGACGUGUAUAAAGCAAUGCAUUUUUCCCCCUUGGAUCAAAGAUAGAUGCUAACUGUCAGUGAAGUUUCUGGAGAAGAGGGCAUUUUGGUAUCUUAGCAAAUUUUCAAGAUAAAUUAAUUUCUUUUUGUCUCCUUGUCUUUCCCAACAACCUGUCCUGAUUACAUUAGAAGGGAUGAAUUGAAAAGCUAUUGAUUUCAGAUUGAUUGGUUUUAUAUUUCUUGCAAGAUAUCAAGAUUGACUUUGAUUUUAGAUAUUAGCAUUUAGGCUACUUGAAAACUAUGAAAGCAUUCUUGGCUGUGGUAUAAAUUUCAAAAUAUGACAUCUUUAAGAGGAUUUUGUGUGUGUUUGCAUGUAUGCAUAUGUGUUAAACACUAAGCCCAAAAUUGUGGUCUCAUCUAAUUGUUAUUAUUAUCAGAGGUUUCUACAUUUCCAGUGCAGAUCUUAAACAAUAUCCUUCUAGUGGAUAUAAACCUAUUGGAAAUCUAGCUUUAAAUGAACAUUUAUAAUUCUCAUUCAACAAAGACUGCUGAAGUACCAUUAAUUUCUCCUUGCCCAAAUCCUUAAUUUCUCCUCCCUUCUUCCACUCUAAGUCUAGUCACCCAAGUCAGGGGCUGGCAGCUAUAUAGAAACCGAAGCAUAGAUUUUGAGUGUUUGGGAACAUUUAACACUAAGAUUUUCAAACUCCUGGUGAACAAAGUGAUUGAAAUUCUGACCUUGUAGUGGCAAAAGGGCAUAAUACAGACUUGAAAUCUAUGUGUGAGGUUAUCUCAUGAAUGAUUCUAUUUGAGAAUAAGCUGAAAAAAAACCCCACCAUAGACGUAUUUUAAACUUAAAUAUGAAGCUGAUGUUUAAAAAGGGGAAAUAUACCAUAGAAGUGAAGAACGUAAGAAGAGCUUGAUCAAGAUUUGGAAAGGCUACUAGACAUGUAUCCAGGUUCUCAUUGGUAUGUGCAUUCUACUCCUUUCUCCCUGUUAGCUAACUGUAAGUAUAUCAAUACUAUGGACUUCAUUUUUUCCUUAUUUUGGCAUUUUCUUGGAAAACAGAUCAUAAAGAUUGUUUUUUGUUUUGUUUUGUUUUACAAUCAAAUAUUAAACGUCAGUGGAAAGGAAUUUUCUCUUGGCCAUGCCUGAAUAGUUCCAUAUUAUUACGUGGUAUUUCUAUAUUUUCUUAUAUGUCAAUACUUCUUCAAUUAUACGAGUAUAUUUUAAAGAAAAAUAGUGCCCUUUGGACAGAUGGGGCGGGUAGUGCUCCAGCUCUGGAGUGAGGCAGACCCGGGGUCAAAUGCCAGGGCUUCCGUGGAGAAGGUACCUCAGGCUGUCAGGAGACCGCAACUCUCCAGGCAUUAGCCCAGGAAGAAUAAGAAAGAUAGCUUCCUCCUUGUGAAGUUUCUGUGAGAUUGAAUAUCAUAUUUGUAAAAUACUUGGCAGAGAGAGAGAAUGGUAGUUUAAAAAAUAAAACAUAAUCCAUGUUUGAGAAAAUAUCCACUUCACUUAAAUUUGUAUUCAAUAAAUAUCACUGAGAGAUGGCCUCGGAGCUUUGUCCAUAUCUCAGAACAUGUGCAGUUUCUUUUUCUUACUGUGAUUACUUGGGUCUUUGUCUCAUCAUUUACAUUGACUGUGAGCCUCUUACGGGGCUGUGACUUCACCACGUUAGCAUCCUUUAUAGCAUGGCUUCCUGGUUUCCCAAUGUGUCAUCCGCUAAACACGGGUCCGAAAAUACUCUCCUCAGGGGAAAAAUUUUCCAUGAUCGAAUAAGUUUGGGAAACUUUGAAUAUAUGCUGUGUUCCCCCCACCCCAAGAGCUUUUCAACUUGUAUUAACUCAUUGAUUGUGCUGAAAAGCCAUGUAAUAAAGAAGCCCUAACUCUGUUUAACUCAGUGUUUCUCAAACUUUUUAGACCAUCAAGAACCAUCUCUGCUUUUUAAUAACAUCAAUUACUAUUUGGAGCAACCCUUCUCUUAAGGUGGCUUGUGCAGUGUCUUCAGAGCAAGUAGACAGUAAAAAUCCAUAGCAUUAUGUUUUAUGUAUUGAUAUUGUAUUACUCUUUAUGUAAAAUCUUAUUAUUCCUAACAGCUAUUUAAUUCUGCUCAUAUUAAAUAGGUCUGAUUUUUCUCAUUAGUUCUGG
Molecule: long non-coding RNA, 6784 nt
Organism: Equus caballus (horse)
Lineage: Eukaryota; Metazoa; Chordata; Mammalia; Perissodactyla; Equidae
Source: Ensembl